GGGUUGUGAGGUUAAGCGACUAAGCGUACACGGUGGAUGCCCUGGCAGUCAGAGGCGAUGAAGGACGUGCUAAUCUGCGAAAAGCGUCGGUAAGGUGAUAUGAACCGUUACAGCCGGCGAUGUCCGAAUGGGGAAACCCAGUGCAAUUCGUUGCACUAUCGUUAACUGAAUACAUAGGUUAACGAGGCGAACCGGGGGAACUGAAACAUCUAAGUACCCCGAGGAAAAGAAAUCAACCGAGAUUCCCCCAGUAGCGGCGAGCGAACGGGGAGCAGCCCAGAGUCUGAAUCAGCUUGUGUGUUAGUGGAACGGUCUGGAAAGUCCGACGGUACAGGGUGAUAGUCCCGUACACCAAAAUGCACAGGCUGUGAACUCGAAGAGUAGGGCGGGACACGUGGUAUCCUGUCUGAAUAUGGGGGGACCAUCCUCCAAGGCUAAAUACUCCUGACUGACCGAUAGUGAACCAGUACCGUGAGGGAAAGGCGAAAAGAACCCCGGCGAGGGGAGUGAAAAAGAACCUGAAACCGUGUACGUACAAGCAGUGGGAGCACCUUCGGGUGUGACUGCGUACCUUUUGUAUAAUGGGUCAGCGACUUAUAUUCUGUAGCAAGGUUAACCGUAUAGGGGAGCCGCAGGGAAACCGAGUCUUAACUGGGCGUUAAGUUGCAGGGUAUAGACCCGAAACCCGGUGAUCUAGCCAUGGGCAGGUUGAAGGUUGGGUAACACUAACUGGAGGACCGAACCGACUAAUGUUGAAAAAUUAGCGGAUGACUUGUGGCUGGGGGUGAAAGGCCAAUCAAACCGGGAGAUAGCUGGUUCUCCCCGAAAGCUAUUUAGGUAGCGCCUCGUGAACUCAUCUUCGGGGUAGAGCACUGUUUCGGCUAGGGGGUCAUCCCGACUUACCAACCCGAUGCAAACUACGAAUACCGAAGAAUGUUAUCACGGGAGACACACGGCGGGUGCUAACGUCCGUCGUGAAGAGGGAAACAACCCAGACCGCCAGCUAAGGUCCCAAAGUCAUGGUUAAGUGGGAAACGAUGUGGGAAGGCACAGACAGCCAGGAUGUUGGCUUAGAAGCAGCCAUCAUUUAAAGAAAGCGUAAUAGCUCACUGGUCGAGUCGGCCUGCGCGGAAGAUGUAACGGGGCUAAACCAUGCACCGAAGCUGCGGCAGCGACACUAUGUGUUGUUGGGUAGGGGAGCGUUCUGUAAGCCUGCGAAGGUGUGCUGUGAGGCAUGCUGGAGGUAUCAGAAGUGCGAAUGCUGACAUAAGUAACGAUAAAGCGGGUGAAAAGCCCGCUCGCCGGAAGACCAAGGGUUCCUGUCCAACGUUAAUCGGGGCAGGGUGAGUCGACCCCUAAGGCGAGGCCGAAAGGCGUAGUCGAUGGGAAACAGGUUAAUAUUCCUGUACUUGGUGUUACUGCGAAGGGGGACGGAGAAGGCUAUGUUAGCCGGGCGACGGUUGUCCCGGUUUAAGCAUGUAGGCUGGUUGUCCAGGCAAAUCCGGAUAAUCAAGGCUGAGGUGUGAUGACGAGGCACUACGGUGCUGAAGUAACAAAUGCCCUGCUUCCAGGAAAAGCCUCUAAGCAUCAGGUAACAUUAAAUCGUACCCCAAACCGACACAGGUGGUCAGGUAGAGAAUACCAAGGCGCUUGAGAGAACUCGGGUGAAGGAACUAGGCAAAAUGGUGCCGUAACUUCGGGAGAAGGCACGCUGGUGUGUAGGUGAAGUCCCUGCGGAUGGAGCUGAGACCAGUCGAAGAUACCAGCUGGCUGCAACUGUUUAUUAAAAACACAGCACUGUGCAAACACGAAAGUGGACGUAUACGGUGUGACGCCUGCCCGGUGCCGGAAGGUUAAUUGAUGGGGUUAUCCGUAAGGAGAAGCUCUUGAUCGAAGCCCCGGUAAACGGCGGCCGUAACUAUAACGGUCCUAAGGUAGCGAAAUUCCUUGUCGGGUAAGUUCCGACCUGCACGAAUGGCGUAAUGAUGGCCAGGCUGUCUCCACCCGAGACUCAGUGAAAUUGAACUCGCUGUGAAGAUGCAGUGUACCCGCGGCAAGACGGAAAGACCCCGUGAACCUUUACUAUAGCUUGACACUGAACAUUGAGCCUUGAUGUGUAGGAUAGGUGGGAGGCUUUGAAGCGUGGACGCCAGUCUGCGUGGAGCCAACCUUGAAAUACCACCCUUUAAUGUUUGAUGUUCUAACGUUGGCCCCUUAUCGGGGUUGCGGACAGUGUCUGGUGGGUAGUUUGACUGGGGCGGUCUCCUCCCAAAGCGUAACGGAGGAGCACGAAGGUUAGCUAAUCCUGGUCGGACAUCAGGAGGUUAGUGCAAUGGCAUAAGCUAGCUUGACUGCGAGCGUGACGGCGCGAGCAGGUGCGAAAGCAGGUCAUAGUGAUCCGGUGGUUCUGAAUGGAAGGGCCAUCGCUCAACGGAUAAAAGGUACUCCGGGGAUAACAGGCUGAUACCGCCCAAGAGUUCAUAUCGACGGCGGUGUUUGGCACCUCGAUGUCGGCUCAUCACAUCCUGGGGCUGAAGUAGGUCCCAAGGGUAUGGCUGUUCGCCAUUUAAAGUGGUACGCGAGCUGGGUUUAGAACGUCGUGAGACAGUUCGGUCCCUAUCUGCCGUGGGCGCUGGAGAAUUGAGGGGGGCUGCUCCUAGUACGAGAGGACCGGAGUGGACGCAUCACUGGUGUUCGGGUUGUCAUGCCAAUGGCACUGCCCGGUAGCUAAAUGCGGAAGAGAUAAGUGCUGAAAGCAUCUAAGCACGAAACUUGCCCCGAGAUGAGUUCUCCCUGAGACUUUAAGUCUCCUGAAGGAACGUUGAAGACGACGACGUUGAUAGGCCGGGUGUGUAAGCGCAGCGAUGCGUUGAGCUAACCGGUACUAAUGAACCGUGAGGCUUAACCUUACAACGCCGAAG
RNAcentral lists this ribosomal RNA (2921 nucleotides) under Klebsiella pneumoniae. Its description in RNAcentral is "bacterial LSU rRNA". It matches the Rfam family "Bacterial large subunit ribosomal RNA". Lineage: Bacteria; Pseudomonadati; Pseudomonadota; Gammaproteobacteria; Enterobacterales; Enterobacteriaceae. The record is from RNAcentral.